CAGUUUUUCGUUUUCCUUUCAUUGGGUUUUGAUUGAGUUUUUGAGUUCUGAUAUGAUUGAUUUUCGGAUAUUGCUGUUUCUUAUAUAUUGGGUUUCUGAGAUCGAUUGAUACUUUGAAUUUCGAAAUUGGAUGGUUGCUACUUUGAAUUUUGAAAUUGGAUGGUUGUUGCAAUUGUUCAUGUUUCUAAGUCUGAAAUUCUUCUUGUUUCUUAAUAGUUAAUAGUACUGACAUUUGUUAACUUUUUUUUUUUUUUUUUGUGCGGGAUUAGGACUAGAAAUUGUCACAGUUCACCGAUUUCACCCUCAUCGAACUGAGCAUCAAGUGUGAGCUAUGAACUUCCUGAUUUGCACCCUCUUCUAGAUCAGCUAAGUAAUAUCUACAGCUAAAUAUCAUUGUUUAUGGAAGUCUCUACUCGAAGAAGCUUAUGAAAGUGCUCUGAAAGAAAAACAUGAUGCUUUUCAGAUAGAAGGGUUUUUGGAUGAAGCUAGUACUACCCAUAUGGAACAGUUAGAGGCUUUUGGAAGAUUGUUUGAGAAAGCUGCAGAAGCUGACACAUCAAGUUGGUGACUUAUGUUGGUAUUUUUGCUUCUUUGGCGGCUUUGAUGUUCAAUUUCGUGAAGAAAGAUGACAUUGAUCACUCUCUUUACAAAGAGGGCGAGUGGGGAUUUUAAACAAGUCAGGUUAUAUCACAGUGGAACCUUACAAGGAUGGUUCUCCAGAGGUUGUGAUAGAUUUCUCGAUUUAUGGUUUUAUUCGGAAUCUUAUCAAGAGGAAGCAAGUAAUUGAUGCUGUUAGAUGCAUUUGCAUCUUGCAGUUAAUUGACAAGUUCUGCUAAAAAAAAAAAAAGAAUUUAUCUAACCUCUGUAAGAUUAAAAGCACAGAACUCACGAUAUUAACCAAAGAACAAAAAAAAACUAAACUUUCAAUCUAGACUAUUCUGUUUCUAUGACUAACUAUUGUUACCAAUUCUUGAAAUGUUUUGCAGGACUGCAUACAUGGCUCCGUGCACUCUAAACAAAAAAGGGACUGAACCAUAAUCUGGAUCAAUUUUUCAGUGAGAUUGGUGGAACAACAAGCCACAAAACCUCAAAUUUUCAAGCCAACAUUUAUCAAACACUUCUCAUUAUUGUGUUCUAUUUAUAGCUUCAUUAAACUAUACAUACCAAGUUUGAUUUGAAGUCAUUAAUUCCAGUGAGAACUUCGUGUAAUGUGUUCUAAUCAUGCAGCUAAAAAAUUGAAUGCUGUAAUGUGAUAGCGGACUACAAUGCACAGAUUGAAGUCAACUUUAAGCCGAAACUACAGUAUGAAAAGGCAACCAUCAACUGUGACUGCUGAUACAACAGCUCCAAGUGUUCCACAUAAUGAAUCGACAAUGUCCCUUGGGUUAAGCAGUCGCCAGAUUACCCUUCUGCUUUCAUCUAUCUGGGCACAGUCCAUCUCCCCUUUAAAUACGCCUGAAAUCUAUCAAGCAAUUGCUCAUACCUACAGCCUUGUGUUGCUAUAUGCUCGGACUAAGUGGGAGAGAAGAGGGAAGGCAGCAUAUACGCAGCACCAUAUUGAUGCAAUCAGAACAGAGUGGGCAAAAUUUGUUGUUAAAACAUAUAUGUAAGUAGUAUCGCAUCUAGCUAGUUAGUACUUGGGUAUAGGGACUUAUUUUGGUAACCUUGAUAUAUGAUAGACUUGCUAUAUUAAGGUUGCUUUUGGUUUGGAUUGUGGUUGAUCCGAAUAUGAAUUUGCACUUUGGUUCCAAAGUUGGAUAUGGCAAUGUAUGAAACAGAUGACAGUAAUCUAUGACAAUGUGGUAUUUUGGAUA
RNA transcript from Rosa rugosa (rugosa rose), 1814 nucleotides. RefSeq lists it as uncharacterized. NCBI's taxonomy places the organism in Eukaryota, Viridiplantae, Streptophyta, Magnoliopsida, Rosales, Rosaceae. The transcript has 9 exons. The record is from RefSeq and is a predicted model, not a curated record.